UCGGUCCUCGGUAGUGGCCUUCGGGCAGAAUCCUUCCCGCGGGCCUCGAUCGAAGACCGG
Molecule: non-coding RNA, 60 nt
Filed under: human gut metagenome
Description: Actino-pnp RNA
Rfam family: Actino-pnp RNA
Source: RNAcentral